RNAcentral lists this ribosomal RNA (38 nucleotides) under Frullania fertilis. RNAcentral describes it as "partial 5.8S ribosomal RNA". The record is from RNAcentral. Lineage: Eukaryota; Viridiplantae; Streptophyta; Jungermanniopsida; Porellales; Frullaniaceae.
AAUGGACUCUCAGCAACGGAUAUCUUGCUCUUGCACGA